UCAGUUGUUUUUUUUUUUUUGUUUUUUUUUAAUUUUUUUUCUUCCUUGAUAGAUUACAACCUCAUUUAAGAACACAGUGGUGUCUUGCUGUCUUUUCUAGCUAGC
Molecule: long non-coding RNA, 105 nt
Organism: Sapajus apella (tufted capuchin)
Lineage: Eukaryota; Metazoa; Chordata; Mammalia; Primates; Cebidae
Exons: 3
Source: RefSeq, a predicted model, not a curated record